Long non-coding RNA from Haemorhous mexicanus (house finch), 3150 nucleotides. RefSeq lists it as uncharacterized. Lineage: Eukaryota; Metazoa; Chordata; Aves; Passeriformes; Fringillidae. The record is from RefSeq and is a predicted model, not a curated record. The transcript is spliced from 2 exons.
GGCUCUGUCCCCUCCCGGUGGGACGAGCCCGGAGCCCCGGGGGAGCAGCCCCGGCCCGGCCCAGCCUGGGGGCAGCGGGCGGGGGGCCCGUGGCCGCCUCCCUGCAGCGUGGCUGGGCCAGAUGUGCCCAGGUGUGCCCAGGUGGGCCUCAGGUACACCCCAGGUGUGCUCAGGUACACUCAAGGUGUGCCCCAGGUGUACCCUCCUGUGCCCAGGCGUGCCCAGGUGUGCCCCAGGUGUGCCCUAGCUGUACCCACCUCUGCUCAGGUGGGCUCCAGGUGCAGCCAGCUGUGGCCAGAUGUACUCCAGGGGGGGCCCCAUGUGUGCCCAGGUGUACUCCAGGUGUGCCCAGGUGCUCCUGAGGUGUGCCAGGUGCACCCGGCUGUGCCCAGGUGUGCCCAGGUGUGUCCAGCUGUGCCCAGGUGCACUCCAGGUGUAGCCGGGUGUACCCAUACAUACCCCAGCUGUGCCCAGGUGUGCCCAGGUGUGCCCAGGUGUGUGUGUGCGUGUGCUCUGUGUGUGCAGCACAAGAUCCAAUCACUCCUUGCGUUCUCUGUUUCGUCCUUGGGUUGAUCAUUUUCGGGUUUUUUUAAAUUUAAAUUCCUUUUUUCUUCCUUUUCCCCCCUCCUCUGAUUUUUCGGUUUGUUUUUUUUAAUUUUUUUUUUUUUUUUGUAUCUCGAUCAUUUUUGUACAGAAGAAACGAGAGCCUUUUUUUGAAUAACAAAGAGAAAACACACACAAAAAAGAACAAAAAACCAAAUAAAAAAAAAAAGACCAAAAAAAAGAAAGGAAAAAAAAAAGGAAAAAAAAAAUCAUGAUGCAAUUUCUUUGGAUUGCAAAAAAAGCAACUCUUUACAUUUAAGUGAAGUGUCUUAACAUUUUAUAUUGUUUUAAAAAAUAUAUUUACAUAUUAUAAAUAUAUAAUAUACGUAAUAUAAAUCUAUAUAUAAAUAUUUAAAGAGGGGAAAAAAAAAACCUAAAAUAAAAAAAACCUUUAAAAAAAAAAAAAAAAAAGGAAAAAGAAGAGAAAUAAAUAAAUCACGUCCGGUAUUAUUUAGGGGUGGAGUUAAAAUCCCUGCUUAGGUUUAGAGCUCCUCGUGGUGCCCAGAGCGGCUCCGUCGCCCUCGCGCUCAGUCCUGCCCUCUCUCCUUGGCCCCAGGUGGCCCCGGGUGGCCCCAGGUGGCCCCAGGUGGCCCCGGGGACCCCCGCCCGCCCCCAGUGCCAGCAGCAAUAGCAGUCGCUGACGCCUUUGCGAUUAAUUUCGUUUUUAAUUAAUUUCCGUUCUCGGUACCAAAGUGAAUUCUCUGUAGCAGCUCCCGGCCCGGCGGGGGGUGGCACCUGGCGCUGUCCCCUCCCCUGCCCCGCGUCACCCCCCGGUGGCACCUGGCGCUGUCCCCUCCCCUGCCCCGCGUCACCCCCGGUGGCACCUCCUGUCACCUCGUGUCACCCCGGGGGGUGCGGUGACAGCUCCCGAGCUCUGCUGGCUGGAGGUGACAAUGCCACCCCUUGGGGACACCCACAUGGAGAGGUGACAGUGCCACCCCUUGGGGACACCCAGAUGGAGAGGUGGCAGUGCCACCCCUUGGGGACACCCAGAUGGGAGAGGUGACAGUGCCACCCCUUGGGGACACCCAGAUGGAGAGGUGGCAGUGCCACCCCUUGGGGACACCCACAUGGAGGUGACAGUGCCACCCCUUGGGGACACCCAGAUGGAGAGGUGACAGUGCCACCCCUUGGGGACACCCAGCUGAGGGUGACAGUGCCACCCUCCUUUAUUACCCCCUCAGAAAUGACACGGGGGGUGACAAUGCCACCCUUGUGGUGACACGCACAGAAAUGACAUGAGGCGGUGACAGUGCCACCCCCUUGAGGACACCCUCAGAAAUGACACGGGGGGUGACAAUUGCCACCCUCCGUGGGGACACGUGCACGGCGUGGGUGACAAGUGCCACCCCCUUGUGGACUCCCUCGAGAAUGUCAUGGGGGGUGACAAGUGCCACCCUCCGUGGGGACACCCACGUGAGGAGGUGACAAUUGCCACCCUCCAUCCCCAAAAAUGACACCGGAGGGGGCUGUCCUCAGUGUCCCCACCUGGGUGUCCCCACCUGGGUGUCCCCACCUGGGUGUCCCCACCCCGAUGUCCCCAAGCUGUCCCCGAUUUUGGGGGUGUUGUCCCCAGGCCGCCCCUCCCAGCUCGGUGUCACUGGCUCAGAGCAGGGAGGUGACAGCGCCAGGGGAGGGGGCGGCAGCGCCGGGUGAGGGGGUGGCAGGCCCCAGGCUGUCCCCCGCCGCCCCCAGUGUCCCCUGUCCCGCCUGGUGUCCCCUGUCCCGCCUGGUGUCCCCGCGUGCGUGUGCGUCCGUCCCCUUCAUGGCAUCGCGCAAAUCCCUCGCUGAAGCAAGACGACAACAACAACAAAAAACACCAAAAAAAUCAAAAUUAACAGCAAAACAACGCAGUUCUGGCUCAGACCAGGAAAAAAGCAUUUUUAAAAAGAUUGAAAAAAAGAGGAAAAUGUGUAAAAAUGACAAAAAAAGCCCAAACCCGAGCGCUGCCUGCAUCGUGCAUGUGUCGGAGGCGCCGCUGCAUGCGCUCCCCGCUUUACUCGUCUGGAUGUUGUUUCAAAACAAACAAACAAACAAAAGGCUACGACACUGAAAAGGACAAAAAAAAAAGGACAAACUGGGAAGAAAAAGUGAAAAAAGGCCAAAAAAAGGAACAGGAAGGAAUUUCUGGUUCUCCUCAGAGGCUGUUUUGGGGUUUCUACGCCGUCGUGUGUCUCUCUCUCUCUCUCUUCCGCAUGAAUUUUCUCGUGAACUGUUUUAAAAAGGAAAUAAAAGGAACAAAAAGUACAAAAAAAAAAAGGGUUGAAAAUGGAGGGGAAAAAAAAAAAAGGAAAAAAAUGAAGAAAAAUGUAAAAAAAAAAAAAAAAGCCUCGCACAGGGGAAAAGCGGGGGAGGGGAGGGAGGGCCCCCCCACCCUGUGCCACCCCCGCCGUGUCCCCCGUGUCACCGUGGAUGCCAUGGGUAGUUGUGUGUGACCGUUGUAAUUCCCGUGACAAAAGGGUUGCUUUUUAUUAUUUUCCUUUUUCCCUUUAUAAUUUUUCUUUUCUAUCAGAGUGUCUGGCUUUAAUAAAAUUACUUUUUUUUUUU